UCAGCAACUGCCAAGUCCAAAGGAGC
This 26-nucleotide non-coding RNA is filed under the name Homo sapiens (human). Lineage: Eukaryota; Metazoa; Chordata; Mammalia; Primates; Hominidae. The record is from RNAcentral.